CUCCGGUAGCCGGACAGCCGGUCAGCGCUGCGAGGACUCUGGCGGGCUGGGAGGUGCCGCCCUCCCGUACGGGACUUCCUGUCGGCCAUGUUGGCCAGGCGGUGCGCUGCAGGGUGCGGUCGGCUGGUGCCGGACUUCGUGCCGGCCAUGUUGGGCCCCUCGGCGUGCUGUGGCGCGUCGUCUGCGGGAGGCCUCCGAGCGGCCGUUCCGGGCCGCCGGUGUGCUGCGGGCCGCAGCUCCCCCGCCUUGCGUGGCAGCAGCCCCUGGGAGCGGUUGGAUGGCGGGGCUGGGCAGGUAUCACCUGGCUGAGGAUUCCGGCUUCUCUCAGAAGAUCCUGGCUCACCCAUGGGAUCUUUGAUAGUUGCUGGAGCUCUGGUGCAUCUCAUGAGACUUUCUGGUGAGAUGACAGGAGAGGCUGAGAGAGAGGUGGGCUUGUGUAGCUUUGAGAAGAGAAGGCUUGAGGGGGAUCUUAUCAAUGCAUAUAAAUACCUGAUGGGAGGCUGUAAAGAAGACAGAGCCAGACUCUUCUCAGCGGUACCCAGGGACAGGAGACGAGGCAAUGGGCACAAAUUGAGCUACAUGAGAUUUCAUGGCUUCUCCACAGUUGGAGUGGUUUGCAGUUGGAGCUGCUGGGAAGGCCCUACCAGUGGCUCGUGAAGAAGACAUCUUUGACUACAUCCACUGGAAGCACCUAGAGCCAAAGGACUGGAAGUAAAGGAAACACUUUUCUGAGACAAUACCAAACAGCAUGGUGGAUGUGCGUCUAACGCUAAUAUAGCGUUGCAGGAGGCAGCUGAGAGUAGUCGAUAGCCCAGUGCUCCGGACAUGCCAAGGCAGAAGGAGGAGGACCAGCUACUGAGCUUCCGCAGAGAGUGGAGAAAGAGGAGGAGAAUCCUGAUGGGAGAUUGUAUGCUGUCUAAAUAUUCCUGAGGCUUUGCCUUGUGAUGCUUUUCUCCUG
RNAcentral lists this long non-coding RNA (958 nucleotides) under Apteryx rowi (Okarito brown kiwi). RNAcentral's name for it is "lncRNA (ENSARWG00000008517.1)". Lineage: Eukaryota; Metazoa; Chordata; Aves; Apterygiformes; Apterygidae. The record is from RNAcentral.